AUUGAACGCUGGCGGCAGGCCUAACACAUGCAAGUCGAACGGUAACAGGAAGAAGCUUGCUUCUUUGCUGACGAGUGGCGGGCGGGUGAGUCAUGUCUGGGAAACUGCCUGAUGUAGGGGGAUAACUACUGGAAACGGUAGCUACUACCGCAUAACGUCUCAAGACCAAAAAGGGGGACCUUGUGGCCGCGGGCCAUCGGGUGUGCCCAGGUGGGAUGAGCUAGUAGGUGGGGUAACGGCUCACCUAGGCGACGAGCCCUAGCUGGUGUGAGAGAAGGACCAGCGACCCUGGAACUGAGACACGGACAAGACUCCUACGGGAGGCAGCAGUGGGGAAUAGUGGACAACGGGCGCAAGCAUGAUGCAGCCAUGCCGAGUGUAUGAAGAAGGCCUUCGGGUUGUAAAGUACGUUCAGCGGGGAGGAAGGGAGUAAAGUUAAGACCUUGGCUGAUUGACGUUACCCGCAGAAGAAGCACCGGCUAACUACGUG
Molecule: ribosomal RNA, 490 nt
Filed under: uncultured bacterium
Lineage: Bacteria
Description: partial 16S ribosomal RNA
Rfam family: Bacterial small subunit ribosomal RNA
Source: RNAcentral